CAUGGAGAUGCGUGGCUCUUCAGGGGAACAGCAAGGAACCGGAAUCUGCAUUUCCUGGAAUGCCCCGGAACCUCGCUUUGCUGGCUGGUAAUUGUCUGCCCAGCAGGUGGCAGCAGAGCUGCGUUGCUCCUGAGCACUUUAAGGACAGCACGGAGAUGCGCGGCUCUUCACGGCAGCAGCAGAAACUGAAAUCUGCAUUUCCUGGAAUGCCCUGGAACCUCGCUUUGCUGGCUGGUAAUUGUCUGCCCAGCAGGUGAAGAUGCCUUUGAUGCUUCCAGUUGAUGGCUUCCCCCCUGCAAUGCCAUCAUCUUUCCAGUCCUCCCACACUCACCGCCAGCUCGGUUCAGUCCAGCUUUUACCUGAAUCCCUGCUCUGUUCCCUUUCCUGAGCGCUGUAAGGACAGCAUGGAGAUGCAUGGCUCUUCAUGGCAGCAGCAAGGAACUGGAAUCUGCAUUUCCUGGAACGCCCCAGAACCCCACUGUGCUGCCUGGUAAUUGUCUGCCCAGCAGGUGAAGAUGCCUUCGAUGCUUCCAGUCGAUGACUUCCCCCCUGUGAUGCCAUUGGUUUUCCUGGCCUCCCACAGUCACCGCCAGCUCAGUUCAGUUGAGCUGUUACCCAA
Molecule: long non-coding RNA, 619 nt
Organism: Lagopus muta (rock ptarmigan)
Lineage: Eukaryota; Metazoa; Chordata; Aves; Galliformes; Phasianidae
Exons: 4
Source: RefSeq, a predicted model, not a curated record